This 774-nucleotide ribosomal RNA is filed under the name uncultured Neocallimastigales. Its description in RNAcentral is "partial large subunit ribosomal RNA". It matches the Rfam family "Eukaryotic large subunit ribosomal RNA", at positions 24 to 647 of the family's 3401-position model. Lineage: Eukaryota; Fungi; Neocallimastigomycota; Neocallimastigomycetes; Neocallimastigales. The record is from RNAcentral.
GUAGUCUCGCACAGAUGCAUAUCAAUAAGCGGAGGAAAAGAAACUAACAAGGAUUCCCCUAGUAACGGCGAGUGAAGCGGGAAGAGCUCAAAUUUGAAAUCUUAAAGGGUUUCCCUUUACGAAUUGUAGUUUAAAGAAGUGUUUUCUGUUGAGGUUUUGGUAAAAGUUCUUUGGAAUAGGACAUCAUAGAGGGUGAGAAUCCCGUAUUUGACCUUUACUUUCAACUUUGUGAUACACUUUCGAAGAGUCGGAUUGUUUGGGAAUGCAAUCCAAAAUGGGUGGUAAAUUUCAUCUAAAGCUAAAUAUUGGCGAGAGACCGAUAGCGAACAAGUACCGUGAGGGAAAGAUGAAAAGAACCUUGAAAAGAGAGUUAAACAGUACGUGAAAUUGUCAAAAGGGAAGCGUUUGACACCAGUGUUGUUUUUCUGAAAAUCAAUUAAAGAACUGUUUAUGCUAAGUUGUUUAGACUCUAUCAGCUAACUGUUUAGUUUUGAGCUUUUCUUUAAUGCACUUUUCAGUUAACAAGUCAACAUCAAUUUCUUUUGCUGUAAAAAAGCUUGAGGAAGGUGGCUUGAGAUUCGUCUUAAGUGUUUAUAGCCUCUUGCCUAUGCAGUCGGAGAGAUUGAGGUCUGCAGCGUAGAUCCUUCGGGGCUAAAUGCAUUUGUGCUAAGUUAUAGCAUUUUAUAGACAACUUGUUGACUAUGAUUUGUCUUGUAGCUUACUCGCUCAUGUUAUUUUACCUACGCUUAGGAUGUUGAUCUGUAGUGCGUGCGC